Molecule: ribosomal RNA, 254 nt
Filed under: uncultured bacterium
Lineage: Bacteria
Description: partial 16S ribosomal RNA
Rfam family: Bacterial small subunit ribosomal RNA
Source: RNAcentral
UACGUAGGUGGCAAGCGUUGUCCGGAUUUACUGGGCGUAAAGGGCGCGUAGGCGGCCACCGCAAGUCGGUUGUGAAAUCUCUGGGCUUAACCCAGAAAGGUCAACCGAUACUGCGGGGCUAGAGUGCAGAAGGGGCAACUGGAAUUCUCGGUGUAGCGGUGAAAUGCGUAGAUAUCGAGAGGAACACCUGCGGCGAAGGCGGGUUGCUGGGCUGACACUGACGCUGAUGCGCGAAAGCUAGGGGAGCGAACGGG